AGAGUUUGAUCAUGGCUCAGCCUGAACGCUGGCGGCGUGGCUAAGACAUGCAAGUCGCACGGGCCCGCAAGGGUCAGUGGCGGACGGGUGAGUAAUGAAUCGCUAAUGUACCCCUUAGUCUGGGAUAGCCGGCCGAAAGGCCGGGUAAUACCAGAUGAUAUAACCUGAUGGCAUCAUCGGGUUCUCAAAGGGUCACCGCUGAGGGAGCAGGCGAUUUCGUAUCAGGUAGUUGGUGAGGUAACGGCUCACCAAGCCGACGACGCGUAGCCGGACUGAGAGGUUGGCCGGCCACAUUGGGACUGAGACACCGCCCAGACUCCUACGGGGGGCUGCAGUAACGAAUCUUCCGCAAUGCACGAAAGUGUGACGGAGCGACGCCGCGUGUAGGACGAAGCCCUUCGGGGUGUAAACUACUGUCAGGGGAAAGAAAGUUCUGAUCUACCCCAGAUGAAGUGGCGGCUAACUCUGUGCCAGCCGCCGCGGUAAUUC
Molecule: ribosomal RNA, 489 nt
Filed under: uncultured bacterium
Lineage: Bacteria
Description: bacterial SSU rRNA
Rfam family: Bacterial small subunit ribosomal RNA
Source: RNAcentral